CAGGACAGCCUCGCGGUGUGAGAGUAGACAGAGGCCAGGACAGUCUCGCGGUGUGAGAGAGGACAGAGGUCAGGACAGUCUUGCGGUGUGAACUCUGCCCAGGCCUAGGCCGGGACAGAGCGCCCGUGCUUAUCCACAGACGACUCCGGCUGGCAGCAGGUUGCAGGAGUGCGCGUAUUGCUGGGUCUUAAGUCUUUAAUUAGUGGUGAGUUAUCUCAUGCCAAAUACCCCCCUCCCCCUGCAUCUCCACACCGCACUGCCCCCUCACUGCUCCGCUGGGCUAAAGCCCGGUGACAGGGGGAGAUUACUGGCCUUUUUAUAGCCUACCCUGUCCACACCACGGCCGGCCUGUCUCCCUGGCCGAGCCCCUCCUUCCACCUGCUCCGCUCGCCCCGCGGGCCGGCCAUUCGGAUCCCCAUGAGCUGGCCAGGCGAGAGCACAGAACCACAGCGACAGGGGAAGGUGCAGCAGCUGAACAGCAGGAAGAGAAGGAGAGGGGCGAGGCGGAGAGCAGCCAGCAGAGGAAGAGGAGCAGGGAGCCGGUGUCCAGGAGGGGCCGGCAGAGGAAGAGGAGCAGGGUGCCGGUGUCCAGCUGGGUUUGUCUUCUCGUUUGUCAUCAACCUCUCAUUUCUCUUCUGGUGUUUGUCUGUGAAGAGCAGUUUAACUUCAGCAGAAAUCAACAGCCCCACAGUCCUAUUGCCUCGCUGCCUCCUCUUCUCUCUAAUCCUUUUUCCAGCCCCUCCAGGAGCUGUCAUCACGAUUCCUCCCUCCCUCUAUUAAUAGGGCCUGGCUGUCCUCCCUCUCACACCCCACCUGGCAGGACGGAGGAGCGGAGCAGGAGAGAGGGGCAGGGAAGGGGGUGAGCCGGCCUCCCGAAUAGCAGUGUUUUCACUGGCUGUUAGUGCUCUGGAAACACUGUUAUUCGUGCCAACAAAGCUCUUUGAAUUUGAAUUUGUGAGAGGGGGGCAGAAGGAGCACAGAAGGAUUGGGGGGAGUGUAGGUCACCCCACCAAGACUCACAGGGAUUGCCCUGCUGCCCUAGUCAAAUUUGGCACUAUCUCUGCAAGGGCUCUGAUCAGUCAUGUGCUCGUCAGUACAGCUGGUCAGCUGGGAUAGGUGGGCAGGGAGGCAUGCCCCAGAGAGAUGGGCCUGAGGCAGAAGGUUCAGAUUUCACUUCCUCCAAUCACACGUCCAGGCGAAUCGCUCCCUACACGCCCACAUACCUGGUCACCAUGGAAACAGCCUCACCUGAACUCAGACGAGCCUGCAGGGAGCAGAGAUUGGCUGGCAGAGUGUGUCAGUGUGUGUGCAUUUGUGUGUGCACGCCUGUGUAUGUGCCAGUGCAACACAAGUGUCAUAAAACAUCACAGUUCACACUUUUCUUCCACAGGGGGUCCUGACUCUCAUGUCUGGGCAGCAUCGUGCAGCAGAGCUCUGUGAAGGAUCUCCAGGAUAAGGAACAACAUCAGCUGAGCUGGACUGUCUCUGGUCUCUGUACAGCUGCAUGUGAAUCUCACACUUACACAUUUACCCAGGCCUGUUUCCUGGCAGGUAGAGGAACAGCCGCCCAGCCAAUAGCUUGUCUUCCUUCAAGAUCCUCUGAUCAAUUAGCUACUGAAACACCAAAUGAGCUAGGUGUGAAUAAUGCCCUAAUGUCUGUAAGCUUUCUUAUGCUCUCACAUUUUACCCCAAAAUGAGAAAACUGGGCUUUUUAAAAUUCUAUAACAGUCACUCUGCCAGGAAAUAUGCACUGCAGGAGGGAGCACAGAGCCUUUGGCACUCACUGACAGCCUCGUCUCUCCCCGAUAUCUUCAACUCAGAGUUCUGACCUCCAAGACCUGAUCACAGACAGACACAGAGACAGGCACAUUGCUGAGUACGUGCCCCACAGGACACAAUAGUUGACCUCAAACCCCACACAACACCUAGUGGUCACCGGCACUGACCCAAUAAUAAUUUCUUACACUUUUAUAGCGCUUUUCUGGACACUUCACUCAAAGAGCUUUACAGGUAAUAAGACCUCCACCCCACCACCACCAGGGUGAAGUGCCACUACACAGCACUACUAUGACAGCAGCCAUAGUGCGCCUGUCCGCUCCCCACACCAGCUCUCAGUGGGGAGGAGCGCAGAGUGAUGAAGCCAGUUCAGAGACGGGGGUUAUUAGGAGGCCAUGAUGGGUAAAGGCCAGGGGGAAAUUUGGCCAGGAUGCCGGGGUUACACCCCUACUCUUUUCAAGAAACGGCCUGGGAUUUUUGAUGACCACAGAGAGUCAGGACCUCGGUUUUACGUCUCAUCCGAAGGACGGCGCCUGUUUACAGUAUAGUGUCCCCAUCACUAUACUGGGGCAUUAGGAC
This 2355-nucleotide long non-coding RNA is filed under the name Lepisosteus oculatus (spotted gar). RNAcentral describes it as "lncRNA (ENSLOCG00000022129.1)". Lineage: Eukaryota; Metazoa; Chordata; Actinopteri; Semionotiformes; Lepisosteidae. The record is from RNAcentral.